AAGAUUCGAACUUGACCUGUUCCGAGACACAAGGCGGAGUUCCUACGAAAAUCAAAUUAAAAUACACCAUUUACGGACACCGUUAUUAACAAUCUUUUACGUUAUCUAAUAACGUAAUUUAUUAGAUAAAUUAAUUACACGUCAUGUAUAAUUAAAUAUUAACAAGCAACCAACAGGAACUACGUGAUUAAAAAUUUCGCACCAAUUGUAUGUUGUGAAUCUCUUGUUCCAUCAAAAAGGAAAAUUGUUCAUCCGAUUUUUGUCUAACGGAACUAUUGGUAAUUCCCGAAUUGCAAAUGCGUGAAAGAGGGACUUGGGGAAGGGAGAACUGGAACCCGUGAACCGUGAAAAGGCACAACUACGACCCAUGACCUGUCGAAUGAUAUCUAACUUGUCUAUUUUAAAGGAUGUGUUCAAGACAACAUGUAACACAACAUUUUCUCAGAUAUGUCGAUUUAAAUGAAAUUUAUUCAUAAAUACAUUUGGCAUACGCUCCAUGUAUAGUUUAAUGUUUCUUUCAUACAUAUAUUGUUCUAUACUUCCUCCUUCGUAUUAUUAUUUAUUAUUAACAUUUCUAUACUAGUUCGCGUACAUGGAAAAUAAAAAAAAAUAUUUCGUGGGUAUCAAAUGUCAGAAUUCCUUAAUGUUUAGAACCUACAUAAAAAUUGUUAUUAUAAAAACUAACAUGAUAAUAAUGCGUAAUAAAAAUAUUCCUUCCAUUUGAUAUGUAGUAUUACAAAGUGAUGUUUAAUAUUGGCGGAUGCAACGUUACUAUUUUCUAUAUUUUUGUCGAGUAAACAUAUACAAACAAUGAUAUUAUAUUAUAACAACAUAUCUGUUCAUCCUGAUGCAACAUUUUAAUUUAUAAUAGAUACAGAUUUUAAAAUAUUACAACAAUCCUGCAUACUUUUUACAAAAGAUUAAAUUAUACAGUGUAUAUAAACAUAGAUACGAUCCGUUACAUAGUUCAUACAGUAUUUGUGAACGAUAUCGUGUAAGUCUUCUUUUCAUAAAUAUAAGUAUUUAUAACGGUAUAUUUAUGAUCGAGAAGAGGAUCGCGAUGUAUUCGUGUACCACGUAACAAGAUCAAUUUUCGUUCAGAAAAUUAUCUAAGCAAUAGUGUAUAUUUGUAACAGUCGUAGUCGUUUGGAAAGUUUCAACGUAGAGGUCAAUUUCACGGCUCGAUGCAGAAGCCAAGUCACGAGUGUGUUACUAACGACGAGCGAUUAUGACUCCCGCCAACGGGGAUAGAGAAAUGAGCAUACACGAAAUAGGUUAAGGUUCUUAGAAACAUUAUUUCCGUUAAGUUUUGCAAUUCGAAUAGUUCCAUUUUCGAAUAUGAAUAAAAGAAAAUCCAAUUUUGAAGCUCAAAUCUUUAAAGUAAACAUCGGAACGAUAUUGGAUCACCGAUGAUCGAUUAACGAUAGAUAUCGAUCCAGUGUAUGAGAUUGGUAAUGCUAGGUACACACACACACAACCGAUGAAAAAUAGAAUGGUGAGAAUGAAUAAGGUAAUUGCAAACAAUCGAAAAAGAACAGUU
Hylaeus volcanicus is the source of this 1540-nucleotide long non-coding RNA. RefSeq lists it as uncharacterized. The transcript is spliced from 3 exons. The record is from RefSeq and is a predicted model, not a curated record. Lineage: Eukaryota; Metazoa; Arthropoda; Insecta; Hymenoptera; Colletidae.